CACAAAAAUCAAAGGGAAAAAUAAACAUAACUUCUCCUUUUAUGAAAGUAUGAAAAUUAAAAUCUGCAAUUCCCAAACAAAAAUAAAACAAAAGCAAAAGAACGAAGAGUAUUAUGAGUUUGAAUUGGUGAGGUCCGUACCAUGCCAUCCUGCGAUCUCAAAUCUCCUUCAGCCAUGAUCGAUGACUAACGAGAAAGAUGAACUUAAAUCAGGAAAUAUGAAUCGAGUUUUCUCCGCGAGCGAAAGGGAAAUCAAUAGA
This is a long non-coding RNA of Juglans microcarpa x Juglans regia, 259 nucleotides long. RefSeq lists it as uncharacterized. The transcript has 2 exons. The record is from RefSeq and is a predicted model, not a curated record. Lineage: Eukaryota; Viridiplantae; Streptophyta; Magnoliopsida; Fagales; Juglandaceae.